ACUUCUCUUGUAAAUGUUGUUGCAGUAAGUAUAUUAUUGCUUGUAUCAGAUAUUUCUCUUAUUAUUGCUUGUAUCAGAUAUUUCUCUCCCUCUGUUACCUUCUUGUGUUGAUCUAAUGGAACUGGCUUCUUGGCUUGUUUCUAGACUGGUGGAUAUAGUGAAGAUAUGAUUCCUACGGUAAGUUAUAUUUCAGAGGAGUUUUCCAUUUAUGUGAAUUAUCUUUCUAGAAGAUUUAUCAUUGCAUCUUGCAAAUAGGCAUAUUCUCAGAGUCAUUGGUUCUUUUUUCCUCUUCUAUCUAAUUUCUAUAGUGGUUUAUAUUUCUUGGGUACAUAUUAUGUUUACUUAGUAGUGUGUCAUUGUCAUUUCUUCUUCAGGUAGGAUUCAACAUGAAAAAAGUAACAAAG
RNAcentral lists this unclassified non-coding RNA (404 nucleotides) under Hevea brasiliensis (rubber tree). The record is from RNAcentral. Lineage: Eukaryota; Viridiplantae; Streptophyta; Magnoliopsida; Malpighiales; Euphorbiaceae.